This 43-nucleotide ribosomal RNA is filed under the name Phalaenopsis pulcherrima. RNAcentral's name for it is "partial 17S ribosomal RNA". The record is from RNAcentral. Lineage: Eukaryota; Viridiplantae; Streptophyta; Magnoliopsida; Asparagales; Orchidaceae.
UCCUCCGCUUAUUGAUAUGCUUAAACUUGGCGGGUGGUCUCGC